This 460-nucleotide ribosomal RNA is filed under the name uncultured bacterium. RNAcentral describes it as "partial 16S ribosomal RNA". It matches the Rfam family "Bacterial small subunit ribosomal RNA", at positions 338 to 795 of the family's 1533-position model. The record is from RNAcentral.
CCUACGGGUGGCAGCAGUGAGGAAUAUUGGUCAAUGGGCGCGAGCCUGAACCAGCCAAGUCGCGUGAGGGAUGACUGCCCUACGGGUUGUAAACUUCUUUUAUCAGGGAAUAAAGUGAGGCACGUGUGCCUUUUUGUAUGUACUUUAUGAAUAAGCAUCGGCUAACUCCGUGCCAGCAGCCGCGGUAAUACGGAGGAUCCGAGCGUUAUCCGGAUUUAUUGGGUUUAAAGGGAGCGUAGAUGGGUUGUUAAGUCAGUUGUGAAAGUCUGCGGCUCAACCGUAAAACUGCAAUUGAUACUGGCAGCCUUGAGUACAGUUGAGGUAUGCGGAAUGCGUGGUGUAGCGGUGAAAUGCUUAGAUAUCACGAAGAACUCCGAUUGCGAAGGCAGCUUACUAAACUGCCACUGACAUUGAUGCUCGAAAGUGUGGGUAUCAAACAGGAUUAGAUACCCCAGUAGUC